Molecule: long non-coding RNA, 7490 nt
Filed under: Mytilus galloprovincialis (Mediterranean mussel)
Lineage: Eukaryota; Metazoa; Mollusca; Bivalvia; Mytilida; Mytilidae
Source: RNAcentral
UCUUUUUGAUGGAUUAUUUACAUACCCGCUAUUUUGUACUUGGAAAGCGCACCGAAAGGUAAAUAUUAUCAUGCAAAUAUUUAAGAAGAUGCUAGUGGUAUACUUUUCACGAAAAAACAUUUGAAUUUAUAAAUUUCAUCGCAUGCAAACCCGAAAAUCAGUCUGACAAAGAUCAGAAGAUUGGCAAGAACGGACGCAAGUCAACUCGACCCACUGCCAAAACGGCCUACUUUUUUAACAACACGUCUCCCUUUCUAAAAAUGUCCCACUCUUGUUAAGGGAGCUACCAUGUGAGUUUUAUUGGAGGUGGGGGGGGGGGGUCACCAUGUCACAGGCACUUGUCUCAGAAAAAAAAAUUCCCUAUAUACCUUAAUAUAAUACAUAUUUAAUACAUAUAUAUAUAGGAUUUUUUUUUCUGAGACAAGUGCCUGUGUGGGGGGUGCUUGGAUGUUAUUUGAAAAAUAUGCGGAACUGGAGUUCUGUCAACUUUAAAAAAAAAAUGCAGGAUAACAUUUUUAUCGUAGCCCCCACCCCAUAAAAGUCAAGUGGUGGCUUCCUUACCAACUCGUCCUGCUUUAAAAAAAAAUUGCCCUACUUUAUAUAAAAAUGGUUAAAAUCUGUAAAAUAUACUCCUGCAAAGAAUGGCCUUGCCCAACUUGCAUGACUUGGGUAAAAUCCAAAUGAAUAUAAUUAAUAUUUAAUUUAUAUAAAAAAUAAAAGUCUGCAAAUUUGCCCUUAUUUACAUAAAUUUGUACUUAUCUAGACUACCUAGUUCAAAUAAUUAUGACUUCUUGAAAGGCUAUUACAUUUUUUUUAUUUGACGCCUUACUGUACAUUAGAGUAAAGCGUCCAAAAAAUAAUAUUAUAAUAGCCUUUCAAGACGUCAUAAUAAUUUGGACUACUAGACUACCCAGAAAUUAGAAAACACUGAUAUAAAAAUUUAAUAUACAUAAAAUUGAUAAUGGAAAUGGGGAAUGUGUCAAAGAGACAACAACCCGACCAUAAAGCAGACAACAGCAGAAGGUCACCAACAUGUCUUCAAUGCAGCAAGAAAUUCCGGAGGCGUCCAUCAGCUGGCCCCUAAACAAAUAUAUAUACUAGUUCAGUGAUAAUGAACGCCAUACUAAACAUGCUAAACUCCAAAUUGUACACAAGAAACUAAAAUUAAAAAUAGUACAAGACUAACAAAGGCCAGAGGCUCCUGACUUGGGACAGGCGCAAAAUUCAAGCGGGGUUAAACAUGUUUAUGAGAUCUUAACCCUCCCCCUAUACAUGUACCUCUAGCCAAUGCAGAUGUAUGAUAUCUAUUGAUUUAAAUUGAUGUGUCAUUUCUGAAACCAUGAUUGUGGAUUCAUAUUUAUUAUUAAAUUAUUAUGUACAUGUAAUUUAUGUAUUUAUUUAGUGUAUCAUAAUCUAUUUGAACUUUUUUUUAGCUUACUCAAAAUCAAGCUGUUUGGGCCUCCUCUUGUACAUGGGAAGUGGACUCCUUGAGAAGGUGAAAGGUCUGCUUUACAUGUACGUAAUGUUAAUAUAAAAAUACAAAAAAUGUGGUGAUCAUGGUGAUAGUGAAUGAGAAAAUAGAGGAAUUUUUAAAAGUGUAAAUUCACUUUUUUCCACUUAUAAAUCUGUCAUAUUGUAAUUAUGAUAAUAAUGUUUAAAUUACAUAAUUAGGGAGCUACCAUUUGAUUUUUAGGGGGGGGGGGGGGCUAGGAUGAAAAAUUUUGUCCUGCAUUUUUUUUCAGUUGUAAUUUCUGUCCUGCCUUUUUAUUUUUCACUCUAUUCGGUCCUGCAUUUUUUUUAUUAGUUUAUUCCGACUUUUUUUUACCUAAAUUGUCAUCCUGCAUUUUUUUUGCAAAGUGUCUCAUCCUGCCUUUUUUUUUACACUCAAAACUCCUGUCCUGCCUAUUUUUUUUCAAAUUUCAUCCUAGCCCCCCCAUAAAAAUCAAAUGGUAGCUCCCUUAUUUUCAAAAUAAAAUAUUGUUUAGGUUGCUAUAAACAGUUUCGUAUAAAAACUAGGGGUUAUUCCCCAACUAAAAAUAGACAUGGAGGGAAGUCCCUUUUUAUCAACAUAAUUGGUGAAAAAGUAUCAUGUUUUUUGUAUUUGGUUGUAAAGAUAUAUUAAUUAACUUCAAUUAAAGCAGGUUGAAUGAUUAAAAUAAUUAAAAAAAUUAGAUUAAAUAUACAUGUUUUGAGGGGAGACAACACUGUAAACAGUCUGUUUUUUUUUGGCAGUGAAAAUUGAAAACUUAUUUGCAGACACUGUAGCUCUUUAUGGAGCAGGCGAACGUACCCUGAAGCAUGAAUUUUUUGAAAGACCAGGUAAAAAUCUAUGAAAUUCAUACAACUUUGAUUAUGAAAAAUGUGCAGGUAUCAUGUCUUCAGGGGUGUGCACAUGACCUGAUUUCAGGUUUUUGUCGAGCCUGCAACUUUUGUUGCAGAAAGCUCGACAUAGGGAUAGUGAUCCGGCGGCGGCGGUGUUAGCUCACUUCUUAAAAGCUUUAUAUUUUAGAAGGUGGAAGACCUGGAUGCUUCAUACUUUGUAUAUAGAUGCCUCAUGUUACGAAGUUUCCGUCAGUCACAUGUCCAAUGUCCUUGACCUCAUUUUCAUGGUUCAGUGACCACUUGAAAAAAAAGUUCAGAUUUUUCGUAAUGUUGAAUUCUCUCUUAUUAUAAGUAAUAGGAUAACUAUAUUUGAUAUGUGCGUACCUUGAAAGGUCCUCAUGUCUGUCAGACAGUUUUCACUUGACCUCGACCUCAUUUCAUGGAUCAGUGAACAAGGUUAAGUUUUGGUGGUCAAGUCCAUAUCUCAGAUACUACAAGCAAUAGGGCUAGUAUAUUCGUUGAUGGUGUAUGGAAGGACUGUAAGGUGUACAUGUCCAACUGGCAGGUGUCAUCUGACCUUGACCUCAUUUUCAUGGUUCAGUGGUUAUAGUUAAAUUUUUGUGUUUUGGUCUGUUUUUCUCAUACUAUAUGCAAUAGGUCUACUUUAUUUGUUGUAUGGAAUGAUUGUAAGGUGUACCUAUCUAGCAGGCAGAUGUCAUGUGACCUUGACCUCAUUUUCAUGGUUCAGUGGUCAAAGUUAAGUUUUUGAGUUUUGGUCUUUUUAUCUAAUACUAUAUGCCAUAGGUCAUCUAUAUUUGGUGUAUGGAAAUAUUUUAUGAUCUUUAUGUCAGUCGCGCAGGUUUUAUUUGACCGUGACCUCAUUUUCACAGUUCAUUGCACAGUGUUAAGUUUUUGUGUUUUGGUCUAUUUUUCUUAAACUAUAAGUAAUAGGUCAACUAUAUAUGUUGUAUAGAAGCAUUGUUAGCUGUACAUGUCUGCCUGGCAUGGUUCAUCUGACCUUGACCUCAUUUUUAAGGUUCAUUGGUCUUUGUUUAGUUAUGUUGGUUAAUGUUAAGUUUAUGUGACAGUUGUAUUAAAGCUUAGCUUUAUACUUAGGACUAUCAACAUAAUAUCAAUGAUUAGUAUAGAAGGCGAGACAUUUCAGCGUGUGCACUCUUGUUUAAGCUUAAAUUAGGCAAUGUUUUUCCCAGUUUCUCUGGAUAAAACUUUUUUAUACUAUUAAAAGUACACUUUUUUUUAUUCCAUUAUAAACUAGAGAACAUUCUGAUUCCAGUGAUAUCUAGUUUUAUACAAGUAUCUUUAUUAAUCAGUCCACCACUAAGGGUCACUUAUACAUGGUCCCUCAAAAUAUGACGUCAUAGAAAAAAACUGUUGAUUGCACCCUUAACAAGAAAAGAAAACUCUCCACCAGAAAUCAAGUGACAUCGAAGUUAACUGUUAACAUGUACAACAAUAGGUCACUUUACAUCCUUCAACAAUGACUAUGAGCAAAGCCAAUACUGCAUAUUCAGUUUUUAAGGACCCUAUAUGAGAAUCACAAAUUUGUAAAUCAAUUCAAACAAGAAAACUAAGAGACUGAUUUAUACAAUGUAAAAUAUAAAAAACAGAACAAAAAAAAAUAUGAUAAACAGCAAGAUAAGACAAAUUGAACCACUAAAUUACACUUAUUUAGUUAGAAAUAUGUGUCGGAUGACCCCUCUUGCUAACUAACAUGCCAACAUGACUAAAAAUAGAACAUAGGGGUAAAAUGCAGUUUUUGGCUUAUACAUGUAUCUCUGAAAGCAGAAACUAAAGCAUUCAGAGCAAAUUUGACCUGGAGUUAAAAUGUUUACCAGGUUAAGAAGAGCUAUCCUUUUUUUUCAGGGAAAGUUUGUUGGUCUAGUUUAAAAGAUCAAAACUAAGCCAAUUUUGCAAGAUCAAAUAUUAAAUGCAAUUUUGGCAGAUAUUAUAACUUCAUUUCAUUAAACAUUAUUUCUUUUAGCAUUUUCAAAGAAUGUACAAGUACAAGUACUUUGAGAAGUAGGAGAAGAUAAGCAACAGAACAGAAUUCAUUUGGGUCAUUGCUGUCUAGAUUAUAUAGUGGAUUCAUAGAUUGUCAUUAUAUUGAUUUAUGUGCAUAUGAGCACAGAGGAGCAGUAGUCAAUGAAUAAUUUUGUGAUGAGAGGUAUGUUUAUAUUAAAAUGAUGCCUAGUUUAUUUGAUAAUUUUGCUCUCUUGUCAAACUCGGUAAAUCAUGGACAUGUAGUUUCCAAGAUUUAUUUUAAAAUUUGAGGUCAUAGAGUUCCAAGUUUUGAUUCUUGUUGUGGGCAAGUUUGAAAAUUAUCCAUGUUAACAGUUAGAAGUGACAAAUUAUUUUUUUUACAAAACCAUAAACAAUUUAACUAAGAUUUAACCCUUUCCUCCAUGGAAUUUUUUUUUUACAAACUUGAUUCGCAUAGGAUUUUUUCAAUAAAAAAAAAAUCAUCAGGUUUAAAGUAUUAAUGCAUUGUAAAAACGAACAUUUCAUCAAUGAAAUUCAAGUCGGAUAUUCUCCUGAAUAUCCUUUUCAUAUUCGAUACAAUUUUUUUAAAGUCUUUUUUAAUAUGCAGACUUUUGCUCAUACAUGUAUUAGUUUGUGAUUAGGUCAGUUUAUGGGGAACCACAAGUGGUAAGUCAAUGAUAUUUGGUAUGCAGUUGUAUAAGCAUUGGUAUAUCUCAUUUCCAUGGAGAUAAUUUGGCUCCGCCCCCUUAGUCAUGGUCUAUUGACUUUGAAAUUUUUUCUAAGUUAUCAUGUAUUAGUUUGUGAUUAGGUCAGUUCAAGGGGAACCAUUAGUGGUUGGGCAAUGUUAAUUGGUAUUCAGUUGUAUAAGCAUUGGCACAUCUCAUUUCCAUGGAGAAUAUUUGGCCUCGCCCCCUCAGUCACAGUCUAAUGACUUUGAAACUUAUCUUAGUUUACAUGUAUUAGUUUGUGAUUAGAUCAGUUUAAGAUAAACUGCUUAUGUUUAGUCAAUAAUAUUUGGUAUGCAAAUUUAUUGGCAUUUGCAAGUAUUGUUUCCAUGGAGAUUAUAUAGCCCCACCCCCUCAUCAUGGUUCAUUGACUGUGAAACUUUUACAUAGUUUACACAUUAAUGUUUGUAAUUAGGUUUGGGAACGACUUAUACAUGUACCGUACCUAAAUGUUACAAUAAUUUUUAAGUAAAGAAAGUUAUGAUACUAAAUAUCAAAAGUAAAUGUCCAGUACUACAGAUUUUAAAUACAGAAACAUUACCUAUGCAAAAGUAGCAGUUUAUAUGAAUUCAAGAAUUGAAUCUACAUGUAUAUUCAAUUAAAGAUUUCUUGCUGUUGUGCAAUACACUGGGCUGUUGCGCAAUAAUUGGUUAAUCUGUUGUCAGACUGCAAACAAACAAUAAUUUCUCAAUGUCACAUGUAUAUCAGAAAUUUAUAAAAAGAAAACUAAAAGGAGGUUUUCUUAAUAGCUAUAAAUCGGUCAUCAAAGUUUAACGAAAUUUUAAGGAUACAUGUAUUUCCAAAAACUUGAAAGUCACCCCUUUUCUUAUGACAUGUAUGAAGAAAAUCUUAUAACUCAGAAACUGACAAACUUAAAUUUAUAAAAAUCAAAUGGGAGCUUACAACAAAAAAUAUGAACAAUUUAACUAAGUUUCAUGAUAUUCAGCAUUUUUAUGUCCCACUCAACGAAGUUUUGGGGGUAUAAUGUUUUUGACCUGUCUGUCUGACGUCAAGUCCUGUUUCUUGUCAUCACAACUGUUCUCAAACCACACAACAGAAUUUCAUGAAAUCUUUUUAGAUAAUAAGGACAUACAAUGUAGAUGUGCAUAUCGACAGGAAAUUAAGAUUCAAUUUUUUUUUUUAGGAGUUAAGCCCCUUUGAACUUAUUUGCUUUAAUGUACUACUUCAACAGUUUGUUAUUGCAACUCUCCUGAAUCCACACAACAGAAUUUCAUGAAACUUUGUAGAUAAUAAGGACAUACUAUGUAGAUGUGCAUAUCAACAGGAAAUUACAAUUCAUUUUUUUUUCUAGGAGUUAUGCCCCUUUGAACUUAUUUGCUUUAUUACUACUUCAACAGUUUGUCAUUGCAACUCCUCUGAAUCCACACAACAGAAUUUCAUGAAACUUAGUAGAUAAUAAGGACAUACUAUGUAGAUGUGCAUAUUGACAGGAAAUUAUGAUUCAAUUGAAGUUUAUCAAUUGCCAAGGUACAUUGAAAGGUUGUUCUUUUAUUAAAAUCUGCACAUACAUGUAUAUAGGAUUUUUUUUAUAAGCUUAAACUUGAUCUUCUUUCUGUUGUUAGCUUACAUUUUGUUUCAAUUUACUUAAAAGUAAAAGUAUAUAGGAAAGGUAUAAAUUAGUGAGCAUCGGUUCAUACUACAUAUAGUUUUUGUCUGGACUUCUUGAUUAAUUUAUAUAUAUAUAUAUACAAUUUUAGCUUGUUACCAAAUGAAAGGAAAGGACAUUAUUGGCAAGGAUUGAUAUUACUGGUGAACAUGUAUGUCAUGUAGGUGUGAAUGCCCUGCAAAACAGACCUGAUAUCAAAGUAAGUUCAUCUGUAGAAUUGCAGUUAAUUUAAAUAAUUUUAUGUUAUCUACCUAAAACUGUUUCAAGUUUAAUUGUACAUGUACAGUGUUGCUUAUUUUUCUCACUUUCUGAUUCAAUGCAUGCAUUAAGCCUUACUCUGCUCGCCUCCUUCUGCUCCAUACACACACACUUGAGAUGUCAGAAAUUCAGACUAUCAUAGCAUUUACAUUACAAACUUACCUAGUCAGACUGGCCAAUAUUAUGUUUUGAUAAGUUAACGUUGUUAUUUAGAAAACAUAAAAUAUUUGCCACUGGACAUUCAAAUAAGCAAAAAAAAAACCGACCAGUUAAUGAUUUUUGCAUUAACAGAAUGAAUUUGCAAACAUAUAACAAUUAGCUUAUGUAAUUCAUGGAAGUUAGAUUUAUAUUCUUUAUGAAUAUUUUAUUUCAGUUACCAUCACAGUGAACAUGGUGAAGAAUAACCAAUACCAUGAAUACAGGACACAGAAGACUACCUCACAAACUUGGGAAUUUUACAAAAAAUAGAACGUUUAAAUUUACAAAGAAGACAUUUAUUUUGACAUUCAUAGACUUGGAAAGUAGAGAAAUUAUAAUGUGAAUAUAAAUCCUUGGAA